This 713-nucleotide long non-coding RNA is filed under the name Cyanistes caeruleus (blue tit). RNAcentral describes it as "lncRNA (ENSCCEG00000000851.1)". Lineage: Eukaryota; Metazoa; Chordata; Aves; Passeriformes; Paridae. The record is from RNAcentral.
GGCUGCGGAGGGCAGGUGGAGGGGCCGCGGGGUGCGGGCAGUCCCCUCCUUCCCUGUUGGUUUCUUUGGGACGGAUGCGGCCGGCCCCAUCUUUGCGCUUUACGCAACAGGUCACAACAUGAUUGUUGGGAAAAUGGGAUGGUUGCCAGAACAUCAGUCUGUGAUGGAUGCCAUAUUGCAUUACUCUUCAAAUGGUGGAAUACAGUUUGGGAUUCCUCAGACCUGCUUAACAUGGUUCAAGCUGGAACUUACAGCUGCUUAACGUUUUAGCUGUCUGGAUCCAUGGUUAUGGUUAAUGGUUUCCUGGGUGAAGAGUCCCAUACUGAAACUUGUGGAUAUUGUGGAACAUGCUGCUGAGACCCAUUUGGAUUAUACUGCCAUCUGACACCAAGGUUCUGCAGCUGAUGAAAGGAGCUUACCAGAUCUUUUUUAUGUGGUUGCUGAAGCAUUGCCCUGGGACAGCAGUAAUGAUGGAUGGAGGAACAGAACACAUUUCAGAGCUAUCUGAAACUGGCUUUCUUUGUUCACUCCAGCUGUCAGCAGAUUUCAAGGAUUGAGUCACAGAGAAAUGUGAGCAUUUACACUUCUGAAGUAGGUGUGAAUGGGACUGAAGGAAUUACAUGGAGGAUUCUGAACUCCCCUUCUUCCUGCUCCGGGAAAGACGGGUGAGUGUAUUAUGAAAUAGUUUAUAAUUAACUCAGUCCUUGCUUCAG